CUUUUCUUUAGUUGUACUUUUUUUUUUUUUUUUUCAUUUACACCAAUAUUAAAUAAGUGUUUUAGCAUAUUUACUGGUAUGCCAAAAGCACAAUUGUGGUGAGACCAGAGCUGUCUGCAUAUUUAAAGUAUCUGUAAUUAGGACUGGAUGAACUCCACCCCGAAACAGCCAUGAUGGGGUUAACAGUGAGCAGCUAUUUUCCCAGCUGUGGCCCAGUGCCAGAAUCACAACAGCUGGGACAAAAGGCUGCCGACCAGGCAAAAUGGGGUAAUUGCCAGAGAGGUUAGGAUUUACCUCAAGGAGACUCUUUAGCUACAGUUUAAUAGAGGAGUGCCUUGGGAAUGCUCUCAAAAAUGCCUUAGGUAUGCUGGCUGGGGUAAGGCUGAAGAGUAUCAGUCUUUUUAAGGCUUCUCUUCUAAGCCACGUAAGGAUAUCUGAUGUGGGCACCAGGCCAGAAAGCUAGGGUCUUUCUAGUCUGGUUGUCCUUACUAGCUUCUAGAGUAGGCUUGGGGAGAUUGAACCAUUUUGGUAUUGUCAAUUGGACUCUUUGUAAAACAAAAUAGUGCUUAAAGAGAAAAGUACCACACAGAGGAAAUUUUAUGUAAUUCUACAGAGGAUACCAUAUUACUAGAGAACAUCAAGUGCAGGUAUUCAAGGAAAAUAAAAUGGUCUGAACGAUUUCAUGGGUCUGAUCUCAGUAGGAAGGAAUAAGAAGAGAUAUAUAAGCAAACGAAAUACUGCUGAGCAUAUAUUCACUAAAGUCUACUGUCAAAACUACCUAGCUGACAGAGCACUAGGGGAUCUCUGCUGAAGUUCCACUGCUCCAGGAAACUGUUUCCUGUUUUCAGUCAUGGAAUGCCAACUUCUAUGCAGUUGACCUGUGUUUAGGGUUUUCUUCAGGGUCACUUUAAGACAACAAAGGGACACUAAUCACACCUGGAGAAGAGGACCUCACCUUUUAUGCAACUAUGCAUUUGUCCUUACUUGAAAGGACUGAAAAGGAUCCUGUCUCUGCUACCAGGGAGAGCCAUGUAGGAACAAGGUGGUGGGCAGAAGAAAAGACAUCAGGAAAAGAUGGUAAUGGUCAUAACAGGUGGCCAUUUUCUCUUCUGAAUCUGGAGAUUAAGUACACAAGCUUUGCUGUCGCUGUUGUAGAAUGGUAGGAGACCAUCAGUGGAGACUAUCAAGAAGGGAGGCAAUCACUGCCAUACUAGAACAUAAUGAGGUAAUAUCUCCGAUAACACAGUAGUAUUUUGGUGGACACUGCAGCAAGC
RNAcentral lists this long non-coding RNA (1274 nucleotides) under Anas platyrhynchos platyrhynchos (common mallard). RNAcentral's name for it is "lncRNA (ENSAPLG00000017229.1)". Lineage: Eukaryota; Metazoa; Chordata; Aves; Anseriformes; Anatidae. The record is from RNAcentral.